GAUGAACGCUAGCUACAGGCUUAACACAUGCAAGUCGAGGGGAAACGAUGAGAGAGCUUGCUCUCUUAGGCGUCGACCGGCGCACGGGUGAGUAACGCGUAUCCAACCUACCCAUUACAGGGGGAUAACCUUGCGAAAGUAAGACUAAUACCCCAUGGCAUUUUAUGGUGGCAUCAUUAUAGGAUUAAAGAUUUAUUGGUAAUGGAUGGGGAUGCGUCUGAUUAGCUUGUUGGCGGGGUAACGGCCCACCAAGGCAACGAUCAGUAGGGGUUCUGAGAGGAAGGUCCCCCACAGUGGAACUGAGACACGGUCCAAACUCCUACGGGAGGCAGCAGUGAGGAAUAUUGGUCAAUGGGCGAGAGCUUGAACCAGCCAAGUAGCGUGCAGGAUGACGGCCCUAUGGGUUGUAAACUGCUUUUAUAGGGGAAUAAAGUGAGCUACGUGUAGUUUAUUGCAUGUACCCGAUGAAUAAGGACCGGCUAAUUCCGUG
Molecule: ribosomal RNA, 490 nt
Filed under: uncultured bacterium
Lineage: Bacteria
Description: partial 16S ribosomal RNA
Rfam family: Bacterial small subunit ribosomal RNA
Source: RNAcentral